GAGUUUGAUCUUGGCUCAGAACGAACGCUGGCGGCGUGGAUAAGACAUGCAAGUCGAACGGGAGAAUUGCUAGCUUGCUAAUAAUUCUCUAGCGGCGCACGGGUGAGUAACACGUGAGUAACCUGCCCCCGAGAGCGGGAUAGCCCUGGGAAACUGGGAUUAAUACCGCAUAGUAUCGAAAGAUUAAAGCAGCAAUGCGCUUGGGGAUGGGCUCGCGGCCUAUUAGUUAGUUGGUGAGGUAACGGCUCACCAAGGCGAUGACGGGUAGCCGGUCUGAGAGGAUGUCCGGCCACACUGGAACUGAGACACGGUCCAGACACCUACGGGUGGCAGCAGUCGAGAAUCAUUCACAAUGGGGGAAACCCUGAUGGUGCGACGCCGCGUGGGGGAAUGAAGGUCUUCGGAUUGUAAACCCCUGUCAUGUGGGAGCAAAAUUAAAAAGAUAGUACCACAAGAGGAAGAGACGGCUAACUCUGUGCCAGCCGCCGCAGUAAC
This 495-nucleotide ribosomal RNA is filed under the name uncultured microorganism. RNAcentral's name for it is "bacterial SSU rRNA". It matches the Rfam family "Bacterial small subunit ribosomal RNA", at positions 9 to 524 of the family's 1533-position model. The record is from RNAcentral.